Molecule: signal recognition particle RNA, 298 nt
Filed under: Jaculus jaculus (lesser Egyptian jerboa)
Lineage: Eukaryota; Metazoa; Chordata; Mammalia; Rodentia; Dipodidae
Description: Metazoan signal recognition particle RNA (ENSJJAG00000005344.1)
Rfam family: Metazoan signal recognition particle RNA
About the family: The signal recognition particle (SRP) is a universally conserved ribonucleoprotein. It is involved in the co-translational targeting of proteins to membranes.
Source: RNAcentral
GCCAGGUACAAUGGCCCAUGCCUGUAGUCCAAGCUAUUCAGGAGGCUGAAGCAGGAGGAUCACUUGAGUCCAGAAAUUCUGGGCUGUCAUGAACUAUGCCUAUGCCAAUCAGGUGUCUUCACUAAGAUAAGCAUCAUUGUGGUAACCUCCCAGGAGUGAGUGGAAGACCAGCAGGUGGGUAAACCGACCCAAGUCAGAAAUGAAGUAGGUCAAAAUUCCUGUGCUGAUCAGUAGUGGGGUCAUGUUUGUGAAUAGCCACUGCACUCUGGCCUGAGUAACACAGUGAGGCCCUAUCUUU